CACCGGCAGCUCAAGUGGUAGCCAUUUUUAUUGGGCCUAAAGCGUUCGUAGCCGGUUUGAUAAGUCUCUGGUGAAAUCCCACAGCUUAACUGUGGGAAUUGCUGGAGAUACUAUUAGACUUGAGGUCGGGAGAGGUUAGCGGUACUCCCAGGGUAGGGGUGAAAUCCUGUAAUCCUGGGAGGACCACCUGUGGCGAAGGCGGCUAACUGGAACGAACCUGACGGUGAUGGACGAAAGCCAGGGGCGCGAACCGG
RNAcentral lists this ribosomal RNA (254 nucleotides) under uncultured archaeon. RNAcentral describes it as "partial 16S ribosomal RNA". It matches the Rfam family "Archaeal small subunit ribosomal RNA", at positions 474 to 727 of the family's 1478-position model. The record is from RNAcentral.